UAUCUGACAUCGGUGAAGAGCAUGAUGAAUGGCGAAGUCUCACCUAUUCAAGACUUUACUGAAGUUCCUCUGCCGUUCUUACGCGACCAACCAUUUAAACUUGAGAUAAAAAUUGUUGAUAGCACAGUGUGUAAAGUAAUUGUGAAUAAGAAGGUCUACAUGUUAUGUGAUUCCAGUUUCGGACUUAUUAAUGGUUUGGCUUUAGAAACCUCUAAAUGGCUUUACAUUAAUGGCGACAUUCAGCUCAUCAGUGUUCACAAUGAUUGAAGCUGUCUUUGAUUUUAAAAAAAAACAUUAAAAAAAUUGUGUAUGUAAGAUCUGUAUUUUAUCAUUAUCAUUAAGAAUAUAUUGCAUGAUUUGUCGAUUUGAAAAAUAAAAUAAAAGAAUAUAGUCGUCAUUACUUUUUAAAUAAUGUAUCAGUAAUAUUCUGUAAAUGUAAUUAUGAAAUUUGAGUUUUUUACUGCUUUAUUUAUUUUAACCUUUUAUUUAUAAUUAAAACGCUUAAUUUUUUUAAA
Molecule: long non-coding RNA, 515 nt
Organism: Biomphalaria glabrata
Lineage: Eukaryota; Metazoa; Mollusca; Gastropoda; Planorbidae
Exons: 2
Source: RefSeq, a predicted model, not a curated record